CUCAAUCUCUUCUUGACCAUAUUGCGUAUUCUGAGGCAAGGUGACAACUGAAGGAAGCCAUACAAGCAUGAGGCUUCUGUGAUGGGAUUUCAGGGCUUUUAUGUGAUUUACAUUUUGUGUAUACCUGACUUAUGUUUCGAGUUUUUUUUUAUUUUACUAUAUGCUGCUAUGUGGUUAAACUGUUUGGUAAAACAAAAUCAAUUGAAGUCCAAUUUUCAAUGUUAAAUAAAUUUGGUAGAUUUUAAUAGCCGACUUGCUUGCUUGUCCUUGUUUCUCCGUGUUUGAUUGGCAUCUUUCAAAGAUACAUCUCCGUUACAAUUGAGGUUGUGUUACGAUGUUGAAGGAUGGUCAUGCUCGAGUCUGAUCCUCUGUUUUUACUGGAGUAGUGAUGUUGCUCGAUUUGAUUUACGACUUAUAAUAUCUAUCCAAAACUUGGAUUUCUUGGUUGACGUGGCCCAACCAAAUCUUCUGAACAAAAGAAGCGUGUCAUCUCUAAAAAGAAUCACUCAUUCUUUCUCCUCUGCUCCUAACAUGGAGACCCUUCUCUCUCCUCGUGCUCUCUCCCCUCCUCUCACCAUACCCACUCCGAGUCCCUUGUCUUUAUUCAGACCGAUCUCUUCCCAAUCCGCCAAGCUCACUAAACCAGAAUCUCCGUUUCUUAAGGCUUCUGCAGUUGGGAGGAGGAGAUUGAUGAUGGGUGGCUUGCUCAUGUCUGGUUUAAUAGUUUCAGAGGCCAAUCUUCCAACAUCAGCAUUUGCUUUGACUCCAGUGUUCAGAGAGUACAUAGAUACAUUUGAUGGAUACUCUUUCAAGUACCCUCAAAACUGGAUUCAAGUUAGAGGAGCAGGCGCUGACAUAUUCUUUAGAGACCCUAUUGUCCUUGACGAGAACCUCUCGGUGGAGUUUUCUUCACCUUCUUCCUCGAAAUACAAGUCUCUUGACGACUUGGGUUCACCUGAAGAAGUAGGAAAGAAAGUACUUAGACAGUACUUGACUGAGUUUAUGUCCACUAGACUCGGUGUCAAGCGUGAGUCUAACAUUCUUACAACUUCCUCCAGAGUUGCAGAUGAUGGUAAACUCUACUAUCAAGUCGAGGUAAACAACAUGUCUUAUUUUUGGUGUAGAACAUGUCAUGAUCAACACAUGUUCCCAUUGUUUCAGAGUUGCAUUGUAUUUAUUUAUUAAUCAUAGCUUCACUAUGCUACGUUGGUGUUUUAAAUAUUUUGAUGGAUUGACACAGGUGAACAUAAAGUCAUACGCAAACAAUAACGAGCUAGCUGUGAUGCCGCAAGAUAGAGUGGCUCGUUUGGAAUGGGACAGGCGUUACCUCGCGGUUCUAGGAGUUGAGAACAAUAGACUCUACUCACUGAGACUCCAAACACCUGAGAAAGUUUUCCAGGAAGAGGAAAAAGACCUAAGAAGAGUUAUGGAUUCGUUCAGAGUCGAGAAGAUUUAGAGAGAGAUGUAGCCAUUGGUUUACAAAAAAUCUUGUUGAUGGUUAUGUUCCCUUUCACUUUCUAUUUUUGUAAUAUUAAAGCAUAAGCCAAGCUAAGGUAAACGCUUUUUUUACUGAACUUUUCAGAUUCGUUUCUUGAUCGGAGGAGUUUAUAAUUUCAAACCUAUCCCUACAAAACCGGUUGAGUUGGAUUAAUUAUUGAAUAGGGUGGCAAACUAAGUUACAAAACGAUCAGAUAUCAACUGUUAAACAGGCUAUUAAACUUUAAGACAAUCUGAUUGUUCAUCAUCGAUUUUUUUAUGAAAUGGUUAGUCAAUUGAUCAAGAAAUUAACUAAUCACCAUGGAACCGGUUAACUUAUAACCAAGUUGACAAUAAAAUAUUUCUGGUUAUGUGUGAGGGUUUUAUUAUUGGUUUAGGCCUUUCAAAAAACACCCUCCUUAGGAAAAAAAAGAAGAGAAUUAUUGAGAGUAAGAGGUAAAGAAGCUUUUUCCGUAGUACAACAUGUAAACAUCUUUGUAUCAUGUGUUCUCCAUGAAUCCCUUGGUAUAUAUGAGUCUCAUACUGAAAUUAAAUAUAGCUAGGACAUACACUGUUGAUUCUGCUUUUUUUCCUUUGAAUGGUUCAACAUUCCCCGGCAUAUGAGCCCAUCCAGAGCACCUAUACAAUCCUUAAAAAAAGGCCAUAUUGUGGAUCAUCUACUAGAACAUGACAAGCAUUUGCAAACGCAUUCCUGAGAAGUAGCACAAUGUCUGUUGUGAGUUUCAACAAAAAAAAACAUGAAAACUUCAUCUAACAUCUUCUUCAUAAUAAGAGAAUACUAGUAUCUCUAAGAUAGAACAUGUAUGGUUAGAUCUUUGCCCAACCAUCUCAAAGAACAUUACAACACUAAAUUCUACAUAAAUAUGACAAGUUUUUUUAGAUUAUACUUUUCUGAUAGUCUUACAUACACUUCUAAACUUAGCAUGGUUCAUGCGAAUAGUAUCAUAGUUUUGUACCCCAAAUUCGUUGAUAAAAUGUUGCACAUCACACCAGCCUCCACCUCGAUUUUUUUCAUCACUUGUUGUUUGUCAAUAUUUCAUCCAUCACUCCAGAGGUUUCAUCUAUAAGUGGUUACAUGUGUUUCUUUUUUUUUGAAAGAAUGUUAAAUUUAUUCAUCCCAAAAAGACUUUUUUACAUACAAAGUGUGGCUGUUUUCCAUGACUUAGUAAUGAUAUCUUAGAGUUGAGUUUUUACUCUUUUUUUCUUAAGAAAACAGAACACAUAAACUUCCAUAGCUUAAGCAUCCCGAGAUCCAAACCAAGCGACCAUUGCGUCGUCAAAUCGUCUGGUUUUUCUUCUUAAAGAGGAGAUCCGAUUGCGCACUGUUUUGUCAAUGAACCUGAUGAGCAUGUCUGAUGUUUUGUGCCCUUCUCCAUGCCUUCUCCCAUUUCUCUCUCUCCAUAUCGUGUGUAUUGAGACUUGAAAUACAUAUUUCACCAGAAAAUUAUAUAUUCCGUGUCUUCCCCGAGCUUCUAAUAUUUGCAUAAGGCUGCUCCUGUCUGCAGUGUAGCUUGUGCCAAGGAUAUUCUUAGAAAGAUUGGCCCAAAUCCGAGUGGAGUAAGGACAAAUGAAGAAGAGAUUAUCUCUUGUUUCUGUUGGCACCAAACAUAGCACACAUUUGACAUCUACCUGAGGGCACCAUUGGGCAAUGCGAUCAGUAGUAGCGAGACGGUUGUGGAUGGCCAACCAGGUGAUAAAUGAAUAUUUGGGCGUGGCCCCUGUAAACCAGAUAGUGUCAGACCAAGGAACUUUAGGUUUCUGCACUCUCGUCACCUGCCACGUUUGGUAAGAACUGAAAAACGGCUUGAAAACAUCUCCCUCCCCUUUCCAAAGCCGAACGUCCUCCCCACAUACCAGACCCUGCGCUUUCAACUUCAGUAUCUCUGUUUCUAUAGCUUUCAGAUGCUCACCUCGACGCCGUCUAGGGGAAUAAGAGUGGACAGCAUACCCAACAUCGCAUUAAUAUUGAUCCCCAUAUCAAUACAACCGCAAGGGCCAGUGAGGUCAAUUAGCCUUCCUAGAGAUGACCUGUUAUCGAACCAAAAUGAGCUAUUGUUACCACUCUGAAUCUCCACUCGAGUGAGAUUACUAGCCAUCUCUCUAUAUUUCAGGAUCUUCUUCCAUAUCUAGCUUCCUAGUGUACUCUUCUCAUCCACUUGCCAAAAUGAGCUCUUUCGAAUCAGAUACAGAUCCACCCAUCUGACCCAUAAUGAUUUCGAAGAAAGGAUUCUCCAUACAAGCUUCAGACAGCACACAUUAUUUGCUUCUUCUAGAGACCUGAUGCCCAGUCCCCCUUCCUCUUUUGGAGUAAAAACAUCAUGCCAAGCAAUUUUUGCUUUCUUUGAAUUCGCCCUAUAGUGAGUCGUAUUACAAUUCACUGGCCGUCGUUUUACAACGUCGUGACUGGGAAAACCCUGGCGUUACCCAACUUAAUCGCCUUGCAGCACAUCCCCCUUUCGCCAGCUGGCGUAAUAGCGAAGAGGCCCGCACCGAUCGCCCUUCCCAACAGUUGCGCAGCUGAAUGGCGAAUGGCGCCUGAUGCGGUAUUUUCUCCUUACGCAUCUGUGUGGUAUUUCACACCGCAUAUGGUGCACUCUCAGUACAAUCUGCUCUGAUGCCGCAUAGUUAAGCCAGCUGAAUGGCGAAUGGCGCCUGAUGCGGUAUUUUCUCCUUACGCAUCUGUGCGGUAUUUCACACCGCAUACGUCAAAGCAACCAUAGUACGCGCCCUGUAGCGGCGCAUUAAGCGCGGCGGGUGUGGUGGUUACGCGCAGCGUGACCGCUACACUUGCCAGCGCCCUAGCGCCCGCUCCUUUCGCUUUCUUCCCUUCCUUUCUCGCCACGUUCGCCGGCUUUCCCCGUCAAGCUCUAAAUCGGGGGCUCCCUUUAGGGUUCCGAUUUAGUGCUUUACGGCACCUCGACCCCAAAAAACUUGAUUUGGGUGAUGGUUCACGUAGUGGGCCAUCGCCCUGAUAGACGGUUUUUCGCCCUUUGACGUUGGAGUCCACGUUCUUUAAUAGUGGACUCUUGUUCCAAACUGGAACAACACUCAACCCUAUCUCGGGCUAUUCUUUUGAUUUAUAAGGGAUUUUGCCGAUUUCGGCCUAUUGGUUAAAAAAUGAGCUGAUUUAACAAAAAUUUAACGCGAAUUUUAACAAAAUAUUAACGUUUACAAUUUUAUGGUGCACUCUCAGUACAAUCUGCUCUGAUGCCGCAUAGUUAAGCCAGCCCCGACACCCGCCAACACCCGCUGACGCGCCCUGACGGGCUUGUCUGCUCCCGGCAUCCGCUUACAGACAAGCUGUGACCGUCUCCGGGAGCUGCAUGUGUCAGAGGUUUUCACCGUCAUCACCGAAACGCGCGAGACGAAAGGGCCUCGUGAUACGCCUAUUUUUAUAGGUUAAUGUCAUGAUAAUAAUGGUUUCUUAGACGUCAGGUGGCACUUUUCGGGGAAAUGUGCGCGGAACCCCUAUUUGUUUAUUUUUCUAAAUACAUUCAAAUAUGUAUCCGCUCAUGAGACAAUAACCCUGAUAAAUGCUUCAAUAAUAUUGAAAAAGGAAGAGUAUGAGUAUUCAACAUUUCCGUGUCGCCCUUAUUCCCUUUUUUGCGGCAUUUUGCCUUCCUGUUUUUGCUCACCCAGAAACGCUGGUGAAAGUAAAAGAUGCUGAAGAUCAGUUGGGUGCACGAGUGGGUUACAUCGAACUGGAUCUCAACAGCGGUAAGAUCCUUGAGAGUUUUCGCCCCGAAGAACGUUUUCCAAUGAUGAGCACUUUUAAAGUUCUGCUAUGUGGCGCGGUAUUAUCCCGUAUUGACGCCGGGCAAGAGCAACUCGGUCGCCGCAUACACUAUUCUCAGAAUGACUUGGUUGAGUACUCACCAGUCACAGAAAAGCAUCUUACGGAUGGCAUGACAGUAAGAGAAUUAUGCAGUGCUGCCAUAACCAUGAGUGAUAACACUGCGGCCAACUUACUUCUGACAACGAUCGGAGGACCGAAGGAGCUAACCGCUUUUUUGCACAACAUGGGGGAUCAUGUAACUCGCCUUGAUCGUUGGGAACCGGAGCUGAAUGAAGCCAUACCAAACGACGAGCGUGACACCACGAUGCCUGUAGCAAUGGCAACAACGUUGCGCAAACUAUUAACUGGCGAACUACUUACUCUAGCUUCCCGGCAACAAUUAAUAGACUGGAUGGAGGCGGAUAAAGUUGCAGGACCACUUCUGCGCUCGGCCCUUCCGGCUGGCUGGUUUAUUGCUGAUAAAUCUGGAGCCGGUGAGCGUGGGUCUCGCGGUAUCAUUGCAGCACUGGGGCCAGAUGGUAAGCCCUCCCGUAUCGUAGUUAUCUACACCAUAUACAGCAACAAGCACAGUUGUAAUCUAAAACUGCUAAAGAGGUCGACAGACAACUAUGGAUGAACGAAAUAGACAGAUCGCUGAGAUAGGUGCCUCACUGAUUAAGCAUUGGUAACUGUCAGACCAAGUUUACUCAUAUAUACUUUAGAUUGAUUUAAAACUUCAUUUUUAAUUUAAAAGGAUCUAGGUGAAGAUCCUUUUUGAUAAUCUCAUGACCAAAAUCCCUUAACGUGAGUUUUCGUUCCACUGAGCGUCAGACCCCGUAGAAAAGAUCAAAGGAUCUUCUUGAGAUCCUUUUUUUCUGCGCGUAAUCUGCUGCUUGCAAACAAAAAAACCACCGCUACCAGCGGUGGUUUGUUUGCCGGAUCAAGAGCUACCAACUCUUUUUCCGAAGGUAACUGGCUUCAGCAGAGCGCAGAUACCAAAUACUGUUCUUCUAGUGUAGCCGUAGUUAGGCCACCACUUCAAGAACUCUGUAGCACCGCCUACAUACCUCGCUCUGCUAAUCCUGUUACCAGUGGCUGCUGCCAGUGGCGAUAAGUCGUGUCUUACCGGGUUGGACUCAAGACGAUAGUUACCGGAUAAGGCGCAGCGGUCGGGCUGAACGGGGGGUUCGUGCACACAGCCCAGCUUGGAGCGAACGACCUACACCGAACUGAGAUACCUACAGCGUGAGCUAUGAGAAAGCGCCACGCUUCCCGAAGGGAGAAAGGCGGACAGGUAUCCGGUAAGCGGCAGGGUCGGAACAGGAGAGCGCACGAGGGAGCUUCCAGGGGGAAACGCCUGGUAUCUUUAUAGUCCUGUCGGGUUUCGCCACCUCUGACUUGAGCGUCGAUUUUUGUGAUGCUCGUCAGGGGGGCGGAGCCUAUGGAAAAACGCCAGCAACGCGGCCUUUUUACGGUUCCUGGCCUUUUGCUGGCCUUUUGCUCACAUGUUCUUUCCUGCGUUAUCCCCUGAUUCUGUGGAUAACCGUAUUACCGCCUUUGAGUGAGCUGAUACCGCUCGCCGCAGCCGAACGACCGAGCGCAGCGAGUCAGUGAGCGAGGAAGCGGAUUAAACGCCUGGUUGCUACGCCUGAAUAAGUGAUAAUAAGCGGAUGAAUGGCAGAAAUUCGAUGAUAAGCUGUCAAACAUGAGAAUUGGUCGACGGCCCGGGCGGCCGCAAGGGGUUCGCGUUGGCCGAUUCAUUAAUGCAGCUGGCACGACAGGUUUCCCGACUGGAAAGCGGGCAGUGAGCGCAACGCAAUUAAUGUGAGUUAGCUCACUCAUUAGGCACCCCAGGCUUUACACUUUAUGCUUCCGGCUCGUAUGUUGUGUGGAAUUGUGAGCGGAUAACAAUUUCACACAGGAAACAGCUAUGACCAUGAUUACGCCAAGCUAUUUAGGUGAGACUAUAGAAUACUCAAGCUUGCAUGCCUGCAGGUCGACUCUAGAGGAUCCCCGGGUACCGAGCUCGAAUUCAUUGGAAAAAAGUGGGAAAAGGUCUGCUUACCACGAGAGGAGAGUGGAAUUGGCUUUCGUAUGAUCCAUGAGUUUAACGUGGCUUUACCGGCAAAACAACUAUGGAGGUUGGUCCAAUACCAUGAUUCAUUGGUGGCUAAAGUAUUGAGGGGAAGAUACUACAUAAUGAGUUCGCCUUUACGAACAAUCUCUGUAAGUAGUUCUUCGUAUGUAUGGACCAGUAUCUCAGCAGCUAGGAAGCUAUUGCUAUUGGGAAUCAGACAGAAGAUACACUCAGGAUAUGAGGUCAAGGCCUGGGAGGAUCCUUGGAUCCCGACAACACCAGCUCGACCGGCUCAUCCCUUAGCCCCAGUCAUACAUCUGAACAUGAGAGUCAGCAAUUUUAUUAAUCAGGAAUCAAAGGAAUGGGAUGUUGGGCUAUUGGAGAAUUAUGUGGCUCCUCAAGAUAUACCUCUCAUAAGAAUUUUGGCCACAAUCUCAGCUCAUCAUCGGGAUAUAUUCUGUUGGAACUACACAAAGAAUGGCCAUUAUACUGUCAAAUCAGGAUAUUGGGAAGCUCGUAAUUUAUUGAAGCAUGAGGAAGAGAAGGAGAGAUACUAGAACACAGUAUAACAAAGCUUCAAGCCUUUGCUUGGAAGUUAAAAGCCCCACAGAAAAUAUGUCAUCUUAUAUGGCAAUUGAUAACAUGCCAUUUAGCAGUAACAAAGAACUUGAUAAGGCGUAACAUGUAUUGCCCACGAUGUGGAGAACCAGAAGAAUCUAUUACUCAUGCAAUUUUUGAAUGACCACCAGCUCUACAAGUUUGGGCCUUAUCAUUGACGCCAACGAGUCCAAAUAUCUUUCUUGUCUCGAGUAUUUAUGCUAAUAUGGAUUAUCUCUUCUGGAGGAAGAACAUCAUGGUUGAGCCAAACUUAGAUAGGGAUCCUUAUCCCUGGCUGAUCUGGUACAUUUGGAAGGCCAGAAAUGGUAAACUUUUUAGGAGAAUAGACUGUGAUCCUUUGGAGCUAGUUCACUAUGCAGAGAGUGAGUGUCAAGCCUGGUUCAAUGCAAACGAGAUGGUGCCAUCAAAUCCACAAGACCAUAAUAUUCGCGAACCUCAAGUCUUAAGCUUGGGUAAUAUAUGCAUGAUAGACGGAUCAUGGACAUCUACGUACAGCACAGUUCAGCGGGUGUGGAUGGACUUGGAUGGACAACUUGGUGAAGGUUCAACUUAUGGGGACACAGAAUUAUAUUCGGCGAGAGUCUACCUUGCAUCCAGAAGUUGAAGCAUUAAGAUAGGCAAUGGAGAGCAUGUUGCAAUAUUCGACAUGUCAGAGCUUUGGAACAGACCACAAGGAUUUGAUCGCCAAGAUUAAGGAGCCCCAUACUUGACCAAGCUUUGUAACUGAACUGGAGAGGAUAGAGACUCUGCAGAUAUGUUUCCCGGACUUCAAGAUUACGCAUAUACCACGAACGCAAAAUCAGAUUUCAGAUUCUUUAGCUAGGACGGCAAGAUCUUUCCAUAGAGAGCUUCAUUUUAUUGGUUGUUCUAUUCUGGUCUCUGUUUAUCCNNNNNNNNNNNNNNNNNNNNNNNNNNNNNNNNNNNNNNNNNNNNNNNNNNNNNNNNNNNNNNNNNNNNNNNNNNNNNNNNNNNNNNNNNNNNNNNNNNNNAGACUAACAUUUUAUAUAAUUUGAUUUUGACUAAUUAGAUUGUCAAUACGAUAUCAAAGUGCUAUUAUUACAAACAAAAUUAUAUUUCUGUAAUGGAAAAAUCUCUCUUUAUUCAUAGCAUAGAGGUUCCUUAUAUAGGAGAUUACACCGUCAUAGAUAAAUGGAAAGAUUAAAAAUCAUAAUUUAUUGGUUAUGAACCAUCCACAAUCUGGUUCAUAACACUUCCUCUUGGAUGUCAUAACCAUUUAGAACUUCUAAUGUGCUUUAAUGUUAUCUCAUUAAAAUCUUACCAGGAAAACCCAAUUGGGAUAAAACCAUGGUGAAAGAAAAAGAGUACAACACACAUUACUCCCCUAAUUUGGACAUUACUGAAGGUCCCUUGGACCUCUCCAAUUUUCUGCAAUCCGUGGGUGAUGAAGAUUUUGGGCAGAAUAUGAUUCGUCCUCGAACAUGAUAGUUGGUUCUUCUUUACCAUCGGCCAUGCCACAAUCUGAUCGAACAUAUUGAGUCAUCGACCUCAAAUACACACACACAAAAUCUUGGAUGAUGUUGCUGUGAUAUGCGUGUACCACCAUGUGUAAAACAUAACCUGUCUGAAAACAAAUCAACAAAACCAAAUAACCCCUUUUUGGGCUAGUUAGAUAAAAUAAACCAAAAUCAAAGGCUUCUUCAUCGUCCUUCUUAUGGACCAAACAGAUCAGUGUCUAAAACAAGACUUCUGCAUCGUCUAUCUCAGGACUAAAUGGACUUCUUUAUCGUCCACCUUCGAACUGAAUGGAUCAGUGUCCAAAACAAGUGAUCUCACGUCCAUGUACUAGAUAAUGGGUGAGACGGGUCCAUAUUAAAUCUCUUGAGUACCCUUUUCUGUAUAUACUAUUUGAUGCACAAGGAUUUCAUUGUUAAUGUACUCAAGCUGUAAUCCCAAACAAAACUUUGUUUUCCAAGAUCUUUCAUCUCAAACUCUUUCUUGAGAUAUUCAACUGUUUGGGAAAUUGUAUUCAGAGGUUACUAGGAUAUUCAGAUCAUAUACUUUGAUGAUUAUCAAUAUUGUUCUCGAGAACUUGCUGUACUUUCAGCUCAAUACCCUCUAGUACUUUCAUUAUCCAGUGGACCAUAUAAAUAUGCAGUCACUACAUCAAUUUGCUGCAAGUCUAAUUUUCUCUUUUAUAUAGCCAGACUUAUGAGAAAUCUAAAAGUAGUUGCAUCCACCACAUGGGGUAUGUCUCCUCAUAAUCUAUUACUGGUCUUUGUGAGAAUCCUUGUGCAACAUCAGCUUUAUAUCUCACGAUUUCUAUUCUUCACAAGACCCAUUUAUAUCCACUGGUUUUAACAUCAUAUGGCGUCUUAAUCAUAUGGCCAAAUACGCCUUUCUUCCUUAAACUAUUUAACCCCACGUUUCCAUUCAAUCCAAUCUGUUCUACGAGUGCGCACUCUUAUAUUGACGUGGGUUCAUGAUCCUCGCUUAUAUUCAUAAAUUCAAGUGCUACCUUGUAUGCAAAUAAAUCAUCUUAUGUCGACAUUCCUUAUUGGUUCCAUUAUGUUCCAGACAUGAUAUAAUCGAUUGAGAUUCAUUAUUAUCAGGACCUUUAAUACUUUGCAGCUUGGCGUCCCAAGCUACAUUGUUUGGUACCUGUACCUUAGAGCCGACCAGCCUUAUCUCUAUGUCUGGGAUGGUUUCCUUAGUAACCUCGGAUUUGGAUUUUGAUUAUCAUUCUCUGCACCUUUCUUUUGUUUCCGAGGAUUCUUAUCUUUUGGAACCUAUUUAGUCUACCACGUUUCAUACGUUGUCUAGACUCUGUAGCAACUUGAUUGUGUCUCUUCUUGGACAUCAAAUUCGUUGGUGUUUUAUAAGUUGGUUUAUAUAUGACUUAGUCAUUCUUUUUCGGGUCAGCAAAUGUGUCUGGCAUUUGAUUAGCUAGCUUUGUAAAUUUAUAAUCUUUGGACGUCUAUUUCACAUUCUUUAGUCCGAGGAUCUUGCCAAGACAUUGAUGGUUGAUUCCAUUCUAUUUCUUUUACCAUUCUUUUACCAGCUUUAUUAUUUUUUUCUCCUCCUGGUCUUAAAAUAAUCAGUGUACCUGACCUCAAAUAUAAUCACCCAUAGUUGGCUCAAAGUACUUUAUUAUUGUGGGAGAAUCAUAUCCAACAUAUAUCCCCAUCCUCCUUUUGAGGUCCCAUCUUAGUUCUCUGUGGUGGAGCAAUUAGUACAUAGACAACACAUCCAAAUGUCUUAUGAUGGGGUAUGUCUGGCUCUUGACCCGUUAAUAAUUGUGAUAUGGAAUAUCUAUGCUCACUAAAUGGCCUGAUGCGUAUUAACUUAGGUGCAUGUAAAUUUCGUGUGGUCCAAGCUGUGAAUGAGAGUUUUGACCUCAUAAGUUAUGGUCUAUCAAUCAGCUAUUUGCAUUUUAAAAGAUUUCGGCCAAGCCGUUCUUGGUAUGGACAUGUAUCACAUAAUUGUCCACACUUACCCCCGUGGACAUACCAUAAUCAUUUAAACGCUUGAGACAUGUAUUCACCAGUAUAAUCUAGACAUAUAGUCUUUAUUUAUGAAAAAGGGGCUCGUAGCCGUUUUACUGGUGAUGGCCUAAUGAGUUUCCCUUGUGUACAUGCUACACACGUGAGAUUCUUUGGGAUAACUCUUCUUAUCUUUUAAUGUGUGCCUUUUGAAUAUCAAUUUUUGCAUCAUGUUUGGACCAGGAUGGCCAAUCCGGUCGUGCCAUAAAGUGUAUAUUUUCGCAGAUUUUUAGUCUCUAUCAUGCUGAUCUAUGCAUAGUCUAGGUCAGUAGAGAAUGCAGGUAUAAUCUUUAGGACUUAUUAUGGCCUUGGGCGAUUUUAUACAUAUAUCUGAAGGAACUCUUUGUUUCCUUCGCCCUUUGUUUCAAUAUGGAAACCAUUCAUUCUUAUAUCUUUAAAACUCAAUAGGCUGCUCUUGCUCUUAGAGCUGGGUGAAUAUAAGACAUCACUGAUUUCUAGAUGCAUACCCUUAGGCAAUAAUAUAUUAGCCUAGCCAUAGUCUUCUUUCAGACUGGCAAUACCUGAUUUAGUACUUAUAUUGGCGUUUUUCAGUGUACUCAUAUAGAAAAAUCAUUCAUUCAUUUAAACUAAGCAGACAAUGUAAUACAAAUAAAUCCAAGGAGAUAAAAAUCAGAGAAAGCAUACAAGAAAAGCAAUCACACAAGUUUGAUGUCGAAAUCAGAUUAUCAACUUGAUUCUUUUAGACAAUCAUAAGUCUCAUAUUCCAUAAGAUGAUCUUGAUCAUGUUCGAAAUUAUUUUCACCAUCUUUAUAGACCAAGUGGGUUUCAAGAUUCUUCUCUUUCAGACUCUCUUUGAUAGAGGUCACAAAAAUGUUUGAGAGUCCUUCAUAUCUUAGCUCAAUGGUUCCCCAUUCCACAUCUAUGGCACACUGAUUUGGUCGAGCUUUGUGGUUUAAAGGAUAUACCACGACCACUGCCUUGACCAUGGCUCAAAUUGGGUUGAUACCCACGGCCUCUGCCAUAGUGAUUCCCACGGCCAAAUGUGUUAUAGUGGCCAUGGCCACGUCCUUUCCACCCUCCACGGCCAUGACCGUGUGGUCUAUCAUUCUGGACGUGGUUACCUUUUUUUUUUCUUCUGCGGCCUUAUUGGUAUCAUGUAAUGGGGUUAAUCCAAGAGGUCUCAAUUCACUGUUUCUCAUCAGUAAUCCAUUAUUUUGUCCAGCUAGAAAUAGACUCAUCCACGGACUUAUAGUCAUGGAUUCUGGGAUUCCUCCAAUCAAAUAGGACAGUUGGUAAUAACACCGUUCUUUAGUGAUCAUAUCUCGAUUUUUAACUAUGUCCAAAGGUCUAGAGGAUUCUCUAUAGUCAGAUACUGAUCUUUGAGACUCUUAAUAAGAUGAUGGCUAAUAAUUAAUAUUGCCCUGUAUCAAUCUUUCUCAUUGGCAUUAUUGCCUUCUAUGAUACAUUCACCAAGUCUUUUUGAUUUUAGGACAAUCUUUGUAUCCAAUGCCCACCGUAAAAAAAUUAUCUCCAAAGAGAUUUAGGGCAGCAAAAUCCAGGUUGAUUUUCGACAUCUCAAAUCAUAUAUCACUCAAUAUUUAGGUAUAAUUUUCAUGCGGCCUUACUCUUAAAAACAAUCAAUUCGGAUUUCAAUCUUGUGAGGACAAUGAGACUAUCAAUCUUAAAUGCAUUUAAUCAAUCAGUCAAUUUCUAGCAAGUCUCAGCAAUACUAUUUCUAUGUGCUCAUAAUAUUAUGGUUUAUCAAGACUAGCAAAAACGAAUUCAAUUAAUCAUAAAAUUAGGGUUUAACAAUCAAUGAAUUUUAGCAAGACUAGUAAAAAUAUUUAUUAAUCACUCAAUCAGUUUCAAAGCUGAUUUUAGCAAUACUAGAAUAUAGAUUUCAAGAAUGAAUUUCAAUGAAUCAGUUUCAAGGCUGAUUUUAGCAAUACUAGAAUAUAGAUUUCAAGAAUGAAUUUCAAUGAAUCAGUUUCAAGGCUGAUUUUAGCAAUACUAGAAUAUAGAUUUCAAGAAUGAAUUUCAAUGAAUCAGUUUCAAGGCUGAUUUUAGCAAUACUAGAAUAUAGAUUUCAAGAAUGAAUUUCAAUGAAUCAGUUUCAAGGCUGAUUUUAGCAAUACUAGAAUAUAGAUUUCAAGCAUGAAUUUCAAUGAAUCAGUUUCAAGGCUGAUUGGUAUUUAGCAUAAACCAUGUGUAAAUAAUUUAUCUAGUAUCCGAAUUUAUCAAACCUCAAAAACAUAUAAUCAGAUCAAUCAAUUUAAGCGAACUUACAAUACAAUCUUAAACCUCAAGACAUUAGAUUUUAUCAUGAAUCUAUCAAUCUAGCAUACGGAUUCUCAAUUCUCAUAGACAUCCAAAUCAGAUCAAUAUAACCUAUCAUACGAAUUAUUUAGGGUUUCUAUUUAAAACAGAUCAGAUUACAAAACUAUCAAUCCUAACAGAUGAUAUUAAACCUCAAGAAUCAUGCAAUCAGAUCAUUCAGAUUUUAAACAAGUAACCUCAAUAAAUCUAUCAACCUAUCGGAUUAUAUAAGCAAAGCAAGCUAGCAACCUAUCAGAUUCAAUCAAUGUUUUAACAGGCUGGUCGGUUUAAACAAUUUUAAAUCAUAUGAACAAUUAACCAAGCAGGAUGAGAAAAUAAAUCUAUCAAUUUAACGGUCAAACGAUUCUAGCAACAUAGCAUCAGAUUCAAUCAGAUUUAAAACCUCAAUGAUCAAAACCGAAAACAAUUUUGAUUUCAAAAUAUUCGAUUAGGGUUUUAAUAUGUGAUUUGAUAAUUAUAGUAUAAUUAAUUCUGAUACUUAUAUUAUUUAGGGUUUAUAGAUAUAGGGUUAUGGUUUAUCGGAUUUUAACUAGUAAAAACCGAUUUGGGGUUUUAAUUAUGUAGGAACAUGAUUUAGGGUUUGGGGUAUCGAACUUUUAGAGCUUCGAUUUACUCAAUUAGGAUUUUUGAUCUAUUACCCUAUGGUUUUGAUUCAUAAAGAUUAGGGUGUUUUAGGGUUUCAUUCUUUAUCAAUCAAUCCAUGUUCGAUUAUGGGUUCUUAGGUUUUGAAUUACCUUUUAACCUUAGAUGAUUGUUGAAUCGGACCACCAAAGGAAUUAAUCCGCGAGCUGGACACGAACGGGACGCGAGCUGGAAUGGAUCGAGUCGCUUCUAUCGGGUCGGGGACGUCCUUUGUUGCUUGAUCGGGAACGCCUUGAUCGUCGGACGUGAGCUGUAUGAUGCUGUCGCGAACGAGGAAGAAGUCGCGUGCUGGAGCUGCUCUCGGGUCGCGAAUGUCUGAGCUAGGAUCAGGAACGCCUUGGGCUGAAGCUGAUCGGGGACGCGAGCUGGAACAGAUGCGGAAACAAGAGACGAGAUCGGGGUUUAGGGUUCGUCGGAUCGCCGGCGAGGGUUAGGGUUUUAGGGUUUUUCGAUUUGGGUAUUAGCUUAGGGAUUUAGAGUUUCGUGCUGAUAACAUGUUAUAAAAGUAAUUGAAAAGUCUCUCUUUAUUCAUAGCAUAGAAGUUCCUUAUAUAGGAGAUUACACCGUCAUAGAUAAAUGGAAAGAUUACAAAUCAUAGUCUCUUGGUUAUGAGCCAUCCACGAUCUGGUUCAUAACAAUUUCAUAAUUUCAUCCACAAUUUUAUAUUUUAUAUUUAGUUAAAACAGUUUUUCUACCAAAAAACAGUUUCGUUUAUUUUUUCAAUUUUUUUUUAUAUUACAAAAACUCUGUUUUUCCUUACACAAUCAAUUUUCCAAUUGUAAAAUUUUUAGAAUCUAUUUCCAUCAAAAAACGGAAAAGAAACGUUAGGAGACAAUUCCAAAACACAUUCCAAUAUCAUUGCCAUUUUCUUUUGUCACGGUUUUUGAUUUACUCUCCAGUCACUUUCAAUACCAAAAGGCAUCUUAGUUUUUUCUUUUCUUUUUUCUUGUUAAUAUAUACAGAAGGCUCACGUUUUGCCAAGUGCGCAACAGUUUCUUCUUCCCUUCACGGAUCUAAACAACGAAUGCGCCGCAGUAAUCUUUUAUCCAAUGUAUUUUCAUACAUAUUUCCUAUAAACCCGGCAAGAAAAAAUUCAGUUUUUUUUUUCUCCGUAAAUCUCCAUUGAUACAACCUUCUUUUAUCUUCUCCUUCUUCAGUUUAUGUUGCCUUAACCGUUUUAGGCAGAAAUAUUACUUACAAGAACAAGAAAGCUUUGUCUUUUACCUCUUGUACAAACAAGGUAAUGAAAGAGAGAAUCUGUUUUGUUUCUUCACUUUACUUUUAAGCAAAUCUUGUUUCUUCAGUGUUCUUAGUGACUGUGACCGACGGUUGUCGUCUUUGUUUACAACUUUUAUUUUUGUCAUUACAUCAUCAGCUCUCAAAGUCAUUAACUCCCCAGUUUUGUCUGAAUCUUUCCUUUCUUAGUCUUUAACUCCCUAGUUUUGUCUGAAUCUGUUCUUUCUUUCUUAGUUUGUUUUUCCAGGAAGGUAAAGACAGAAUAGUAUCUUCACACUCCCAUGGCUACCAUAAACGAGAUUGGAGUAGCAGCAGCAAUAAAUAUAGUCACAUCAAUUGCUUUCUUGAUAGCUUUUGCAAUACUCAGGAUUCAACCAGUAAACGACAGAGUCUACUUCCCUAAGUGGUACCUCAAGGGCCUAAGAACUAGCUCUAUACAAACCGGUGGCUUUGGAAGCAAGUUCAUCAACUUGGACUUCAGGUCCUAUGUUCGAUUCCUCAACUGGAUGCCUGAAGCACUUAAAAUGCCUGAACCAGAGCUCGUUGAUCACGCAGGACUUGAUUCUGUUGUCUACUUGAGGAUCUACUUACUCGGGUAUAUAUUUAUAUGUAACCUCACAUCGCUCUUUUCUUUUCUCCAAAGCUCUUUUUACUUAGGGACGAAGCUAAAUGGAGUAAGGAUGGGCCAGUUGCCCACCAUAACAUUUUUUUAAUUUAGUGUAAUUCUUAUAAAAUUUUAGUGAUGCCUCUGUUCCAAUUUUAUGCUUAUGCUAAUAGUUUUCAUUUCUACCCCGGAUUAAAAAAACAAUUUCUAGAUCCGCCACUGAUGCCAAUGGUUUUAACCUGUAGGCUCAAGAUCUUUUUCCCCAUAGCUUGCGUUGCUUUUACCACAAUGGUGCCUGUUAAUUGGACAAACAAGGGAUUGGAUGGGUUGAAGCACUCUAAUAUAAGUUAUAGUGAUAUUAUAAGUUAUAGUGAUAUUGAUAAGCUCUCUUUGUCAAAUAUACCAAAUGGAUCAGACAGGUGAGAUAUACUUUUCCAACUUUGGUGCUUUUGUUCUUUAUUCCAUUAGUGUGAAUGGUGAUUCAUUGGUCUUUCAUGUUCCUAUAGAUUUUGGGUGCAUUUGUGUAUGGCUUAUGCAAUCACCUUCUGGACGUGCUUUAUGCUGAAAAGAGAGUAUCAGAAUAUAGCUUUGAUGAGGCUACAGUUUCUUGCAAAUGACGAAAGGAGACCCAACCAGUUCACUGUAAUGAAACUUUGAAUCUUUUUUUUUUUAUCACUCUUUGAGUUUAGCUUUCUGAUAGAAUCACUAUGAAAACUUUUUCAUUAAUGGUAGGUGCUGGUGAGAAACAUUCCUGUAGAUCCUCAUGAAUCAAUAUGUGAACUUGUUGAGCAUUUCUUUAAGGUCAACCAUCCAGAUCAUUACCUCACUUUCCAGGUAAAAUCAUCUCUGGAUGUUUUGAAAUAUAUCCAUCUCCUGGCUUAGUUUCCAGGUUGACGGUUCUUGAUCUUCUUUAACUCAGGCAGUCCAUGACGCAACCAAACUCUCUGAAUUGGUUCAGACAAGGAAACAAAUGCAGAAUCUGCUUGAUUACAAUAUUAACAAACACAUGAGAACUCUAACUAAAAGACCAGUAAUAAAGGUGAGUAAAGUCACAUUUGCAAAAAGCUUAAGUGAUGUUUUUAUUCAAGACUCAUUUUUAUUGUCUGCAAAGCAGAUGGGUUUUCUUGGCUGUUGCGGUGAAGAAGUUGAUGGAAUCAAGUACUACACGUCAAUGGUCGAGAGUCUAACAAGAGAAGUAAAGCGUUCAGCUCAGCUACUAUUCUAUAUAUGCUAUUUGCUUUUAUUCUCCAGUCAAUGCUAACUUCCAAAUGUUUCAGAUAACUGAGGAGAAACAUAGGUUAAGGACCGGGACAAAGUCGAUAGUCCCUGCAGCUUUUGUCUCUUUCAAGAGUCGUUGGGGAGCAGCGGUUUGUGCUCAAACUCAACAGUCAAGAGAUCCAACAGAGUGGCUAACCGAGUGGGCUGCAGAGCCAUGUGACAUCUACUAUGAUAAUCUGGCAUUGCCAUAUGUCGACCUUAAGAUAAGGAGGAUAAUAGUCGCCGUGGCAUACUUCUUCCUCACCUUCUUCUUCAUGAUCCCAAUAGCAUUUGUACAGUCACUCGCCAACAUUGAAGGGAUAGAGAAGAAUUUUCCAUUCUUGAAGCCCCUUAUAGAAGUGUAUGUCUCUGUGACUGUCUUAUUUCCCAUAAAUUACAAAAAUCUUUGCUCUGUCUUGUUGAUAGAAUCUCUUAUGUGGACAGGAAGUUUUUCAAGUCUAUCAUUCAAGGCUUCCUUCCAGGGAUUGCCUUGAAGAUCUUUCUCAUGUUGCUCCCAAGAAUAUUGAUGCAAAUGUCGAAAUUUGAAGGUUUUAUCAGCACAUCCUCAUUAGAAAGAAGAGCCGCAAGUAGAUUCUAUAUGUUCCAAUUCAUCAAUGUUUUCCUUGGAAGCAUUGUCACCGGGACUGCGUUUCAGCAGCUCAACAGCUUCCUUAACCAGUCUGCAAACGAGUAUGUAUAAUGUAUCUAGUUUUAUCACCAAUUGAUUUUAAGUUGGAAGCUAGUGAUAAUUUCAAAUUUAACAUGUUUCGUUUGGACAUGUUUUUUAAUGCAGUAUUGCAAAGACAAUUGGCGUCUCGAUUCCAAUAAAAGCGACCUUCUUUGUAACAUACAUAAUGGUGGAUGGAUGGGCAGGUGUUGCUGGGGAGAUACUGAGGUUGAAGCCGCUCAUAAUCUAUCAUCUAAAGAACUCUUUCCUGGUUAGAACAGAGAAAGAUAGGGAAGAAGCAACUGAUCCUGGAACCAUAGGAUUCAACACUGGUGAGCCUCAAAUACAACUCUACUUCCUUCUUGGUCUUGUUUAUGCAGCAGUUAGCCCUAUCCUUCUUCCCUUUAUCAUCCUCUUCUUUGCCCUGGCUUACGUCGUGUACCGUCAUCAGGUGAGAAUAAUUGAGUCCUUUUCCUCCAGAGCUCGAGCAUAGUUAGGUAAUAAUGAAGAAUUCAUUUGCAUGCAGGUUAUAAACGUGUACAACCAAAAGUAUGAGAGCGCAGGGAAGUUCUGGCCUGACGUUCACAGGCGUGUGGUGACCGCACUGAUAGUUUCGCAGCUGCUCUUGAUGGGUCUACUAAGCACGAAAGGAGCUCAUAAGUCUACUCCUUUGCUUCUUGUGCUUCCAGUUCUAACCAUCGGUUUCCACAUUCACUGCAAAUGCCGUUACCAAUCUGCCUUUGUCACAUACUCUUUAAAGGUUAGUCACAAAUUAACUAAUGAUCUCUAGUAGCUUUGAGUAAAAUGUGUAAGAUUACAUCUUAGCGAUCUGUCUUUUUACCCUUGUUUUUAUCAGGAAGCCACGAUCAAAGAUACACUGGAGCGCAUGCGUGAGCCAAACCUAAACCUCAAGGCUUUCUUUAGAAAUGCGUACGCCCAUCCAGAGUUCAGAGUUGGAGAAAAUCUGGAUCUAGAGAUGGCCAUGGAGAAGCCUGAUAAGCUGCCAGAGCUAGUGGCCACUAAGCGUGGCUCAUGGAGGAACACUUCUUUGCCUAGCAAACAUAUCUGACCUUAUUCACCCUGCUGCUGGCUUUUCAACCUUUAACUGUGAUUCUUUUAUGUUCUUGUACAUAUGAACAAUUGUAUUAAAUGCAAGGAGAAAAUACUAUUGAAGAACCACACGAGACGUUACAGUUAGAAUUGUAGCAUAUGAUUAGACAAAGCAACCCAAAAAGAAAAAUUCAGAAUCUUUACAUAUAUACUUGGAGAUAGGCAUGAUUGCUAUUAUAUAUCCUCAGCUUUAACCUUGCCUGAACUUGCAUUAGAAACACCAGUCAGAGUUGAAGCGAGCUUGAAGUAGGUAGCUCCAAACGUUUUGUGCACAUUUUUUAAACAUCGCUUUUGAGUUAUGGACAUUAACUCUCAUAUUGAUUCUUAUCAUCGACCCAAUAAAAAUAUUGACCUUAUGGAUCACCAAAAUUUUCUUCUACAUUCAUAGUUUGCCUCAAUUCCUUGGUAACAACAAACCCUAUGGUUUGCCUCUUGCUUCCAAGGCUUCUCAUCAACAUAGUCCUCACAUGACUUAUCUUCUACAUUCAUAGUUUGCGUCAAUCGACUAAUCUCUUUAAUCUACAUUAUCUUCCUAAAUAUAGAUUAACACAUAAACGUGUCCUCAUGGGAUUUGGUUGAACUGUAGAAAUUGAGCCACUAAGUGAGUGUUGUGAUCCAAAUGUUCGCAUGUGAAGGCAGGUGCAACUGUUUUAGGUGCAUGCAAUAAGAAAGACAUACAAUGAAGCAACGGCAUGCAUAAUUAAUUAUUGCAUCAUAUGAUUGAUUGCCUUCAUGAAGAAUGAUAUCACACAGUUGGUCUCUAAUACAUGUAGCCUUAGUGACUGUGUUAUACAGAAUGUGAUGUUUUUUCUCCCCCUUGAUUCUGAACUUUUAAGAGCGGAUGCUCUCCCUUGUGUGGAGCGAACUGGAACAAUGAACCAUUCUAUCUUAUCGAAUUUUAAUAAGAGCAUGUUCAAUGGGAAAGAUCCUAUUAGGUCUCUUAAGUAUAUUUAAUUACUAAAUUUUUGUUAAGAGAUCUUGUUAAAGUAUUUUUGUUUUCUUUGCUCCAAUGGUAAAACCAUAGAGGUUCUUAAAAAAACACUUAUGCAUGUCUGUGUGUAUCUGUGAAUGUUUCCUUUGAAUGAAACAAAAGCACCAAAGUGAUGUUAGACUGCACACCCUGCUCAACAAAUGAGUUCUCCAAAGAAUCAAGAUACAAGUUGUGUUUCUCAUUUGUCCAGCCACCACAUUCAUCCUGCAGAAACAAUUUUACAAAACAAAAACAAUAUUGAUGAGUAUUAAUCAUCCUGCCGGUGAAACUCAAGAUGAAAACUUGUCAAUAAAACUAAACCAUUACGACUCAACGAUCAGGUGUCCUCAUACAGAUUGAUAAGCCUGAGCCAAAGCAUUGCAACCACUGAACACAAACUCCAAUUGCUCAAAACAGUUUAAAAGAUAUGACUUUUCGAUUUGGUAAAUGCUUAUAAAUAAUUAGUUAAAGAUCUCAACAUCAGCAUCAUUGCAUCAAAACAAAAAUCGAAAAUAUAUACACACAAACAAUAGCCUCAAUAUAAAACUGAAAUACAUUGACAACUAAUCCAAACACUCUUCAAAUUGAGAUUGUUAUCACACAACAAACAAUUAGCCUCUAGUUUCAAGAUAAUCCAAUUCCAAAGCAUCACCAACAGAUAAAGCAUCACCACCCCCACCAAGAACCCAACCAAAACCUCCACCAAUCUUCUUCCUUUCCCUCCACCACCACCAUCUUCGUCCCACCACCGCUCCUCAAAUGCGCCAACAAACCUUUCAAGAACAUCUCGCUAUACAGCAACGUCUCGUUGACUUCGCCAGAAUCAAUCCCGGAGCUAGGCCACCCGGUCUCCGCCACAAUUACGGAAAGAUUCUCGUGUCCCGUCACAGCCAUGGACGUCCCGCAUCGUCACGGAGGGGAGACGUCAAGCACCAGCGCAUCGCGGAACCACCGAGAGAGAUUGAGAUAAACGAAUCUCGACUAGUGACACGUCGCACCUAAGAACCGUGCCUUAGAGCACUUAAUUAGGAGACGUGCCUUCACUUUAAUUCAUUUUUUCUUUUUCUUUUUUUUGAUAAUUACCCUAAGAGACGGGUUCAAGAGCUCGCGGUAAACCUGCUCUAAGGUUCCAAGUGAACAAUAACAUGAACGAGUUUAUGUGUUAAUAAGGUUACAAUCUUAUCGAAUUUUAAUAAGGUUACAAUCUUUACGGAUUUUUAUUAUAUUUUUAAAUUAGUUAUGUUUAUUGUUAAAUAAUUUUUUUUGGGGUCAAAUUUGUUAAAAAAAAAUUAUUAUAUCGAGGAAAAAAUCAGAAGUUUCGGGGAAAAUACCGAAUUUAUUAUGUUUGGUCUUCCAUUUAAAAGGCUAAACAGCGACGUUGAUAUACGACGCGUUAUCGUAACGAAUCCUGACCGCUCAUCUCGCCAAAUGACUCACCUCCUUGGAGAAUAUAUAUAAACCUCAAAAGCUGUAUUCCAAACUUUUUCCAAAAAAAUCCAUUCUCUUCCUCCUCCAGAUCUGUCACGAAGACCAUUUACCAGAUCCGCCUGAGCCAUGGAGAAACCGUACGGAUACGCGAGCGUGAGCAUGAGCAUGAGCGGCGUAGAUCGCUCCGCCGGGAAGGAUAUCGAUCUUGAGAUGGGAGAGGCGACGCUCUACCCAGGGCUAAGCUACGGCGAGAAUCAACUCCGGUGGGGAUUCAUCCGCAAGGUCUACGGGAUCCUCUCCGCCCAGCUCCUCCUAACCACGCUUAUCUCCGCCGUCGUCGUCCUUAAUCCUCCGGUCAACGAACUCCUAACCGGAUCUCCCGGCCUUCUCCUCUUCCUCUGCAUCAUCCCUUUCGUCUGUACGUAACCUAGAUCUCAUUCUUCGCAUCAGAUUUACAUUUAAUCUCCAUCGUUAGGUAUCAGAUUUGAUGUGGUGAUUAUGAUUCUUAAGGUUUGAUCUUCAUGUGUUGAGAAUAUGCUAUUCAUUGUUGAUGUCAUUGAUUACUGCAGUGAUCUGGCCUCUGCACGUUUACCACCAGAAGCAUCCUGUUAACCUCAUCCUCCUUGCCCUCUUCACUAUCUCUUUGAGCUUCACCGUUGGUGUCAGUUGUGCCAUGACAGAAGGUUCAAUUCUCGUUUCCUCUACUGUCAUUAGAACUUAGAAGUCUUAUUCUUAUAACAAUAUCUUUUCUGUUUUCAUCAGGAAGAAUCGUCCUUGAAGCCUUGAUAUUGACACUGUCCGUGGUCGGGUCUCUAACCGCAUACACUUUCUGGGCUGCAAAGAAGGGCAAAGACUUCAGCUUCCUUGGACCCAUUCUCUUCACCAGCCUCAUCAUUCUUGUAGUGACCAGCUUCAUGCAGGUCUCUCUCUCUCUCUCUCUUACGAAUUAAGCAAAAACAUCUCCACAUAUACAUAAAGGAAAUGCUUACAUUUUGUUUUGUUUAUCAUAAUAUUGCAGAUGUUCUUCCCGCUUGGCCCGACCUCUGUUGCCAUAUAUGGAGGAGUCAGCGCGCUGGUGUUCUGCGGAUACAUAGUCUAUGAUACCGACAAUCUCAUCAAGCGUUUCACAUAUGACGAAUACAUCCUCGCAUCGGUGGCUCUCUACUUGGACAUCCUCAAUCUCUUCUUGACCAUAUUGCGUAUUCUGAGGCAAGGUGACAACUGAAGGAAGCCAUACAAGCAUGAGGCUUCUGUGAUGGGAUUUCAGGGCUUUUAUGUGAUUUACAUUUUGUGUAUACCUGACUUAUGUUUCGAGUUUUUUUUUAUUUUACUAUAUGCUGCUAUGUGGUUAAACUGUUUGGUAAAACAAAAUCAAUUGAAGUCCAAUUUUCAAUGUUAAAUAAAUUUGGUAG
RNAcentral lists this long non-coding RNA (23091 nucleotides) under Brassica napus (rape). RNAcentral's name for it is "long non-coding RNA (BNAP_LNC021463)". Lineage: Eukaryota; Viridiplantae; Streptophyta; Magnoliopsida; Brassicales; Brassicaceae. The record is from RNAcentral.